This 570-nucleotide ribosomal RNA is filed under the name uncultured beta proteobacterium. RNAcentral's name for it is "partial 16S ribosomal RNA". Lineage: Bacteria; Pseudomonadati; Pseudomonadota; Betaproteobacteria. The record is from RNAcentral.
UCCUUUUGGGUAGCAACAAUUGGGGAUUUUUGGCCCCAUGGGGGCAAACUUUUCUCCUGCCUUAACCGCUGGAAGAAAAGAGCCCUUCGGGGUUGUAAAAAUACAUUCAGGCGGGUAUGAAGGUAGUAUAGUUUAAGACUUUACUCUUGACGGUUUCCCCGCAAGAGAAACUCGCCUAAAAUUUUGCCCCCCACACCCGGUGAUAUAGAGAGGGGCGCACGUUUUCUUGGGAUAUUUGGGGGAUAGAGCGCGGUAGAGGGGGGUUUUAUAUUUCAUGUGAAAAAUCCGCGGGUCUUCACCUGAGAAACCACAUGUAAAUCUGGCACUAGUGUCUUGGUAGAGAAGGGGGGAGUAUUUCAGUGCAUUGCUGUGAAAUGCGGAUAGAUCUGGGGGAAUCCCGUGGGGAAAGGCGGCUCCCUGGAGGAAGUCUGGCGGUCAACACAAGAAGCAUUGGGGGGAAAACAUUUUAGAAACUCCUUAUUGUCCCCCCGAAACAAAUGGUCAUUAGGGAGGUUCGCUCCAAGCGUUCGGUGCCGUAGCUAACGCGUAAGUUACCCGCAUGGGAAGAAA